CCGAGAAGGAAGAGAACGAAGGGAAAAAAAAAAGUUAAAAAAAGAGAGGGAAAAGUAAUAGCGGGGGAUCGAGCUACACAAAGCAAAGCUCUCUCUCUGUAUGCAAAUCAGCUAAACCCAAAAGAAGAGAAAAAUGCAGUCGAAGACAGAUUAGAAGAAAAAGAAGAAGAGCGGAAACAGAGAGAAAGCGCGAAGAAUCGAAAAGCCCAAGUGAGUUUGAAGGCUGUUGAUUUAUCUGCAAUUGGUGAAGUUGGAGAAGGUCAGAACUUCACAAAUCUCUGAACCUUAAUCUCACACUCUCCAGUUUAGUUUAUCGCUCUUUCGUUGUAAUUCCAAUUUCAUCUGUAAUUGGUGCUCUGUUCUUAACUCAAUCUCCCAGCUCAACUAAUCUUUCCUUCUCAACUUCUGUUAUCUAAAUUUGAAUUUUCCAGCUUUUAAAUUCUCUCAAAAUUUUUCAAGCCGGGUUGGGGGAAGGGGGUGUGUUCAAUCGCUCUAGUGCUAUACUUUUACGGUUCAUGCAGUUACAAGCAAUCAACUUUGAUGAUUCGAACUUAGGGUUUUGAUUUAUUUUGAUUUUGAAUCAAUUUGGUGUGAUUUCGGGGUUUUUGAUAAGCUUAACUACUGAGUUUGAUCUCUAGGGUUUUGGCUUUUGUGCAAAGAUGAGAUUUGGGUUUGCAUUGUAUAUUUUCUGGGCGGGUGAAUUUUGGGUCGUUUGGAAACAGAAAUNNNAACCAUUUUCUGGUUGGCUGUGAAGGUUUUAACCAUUCUGUGGAUGGUCUGUUUAUUUUGAGAUAUACAGAGCUUGAGAGUUUAUAUGCAUUGAAUUGAUAUGCGGGUGGGUGAAUUUUUGGUUGUUUGGAAGCCAGUAUAACAGUAUUUUGUGGUUGUAUUGAGGGGC
RNAcentral lists this unclassified non-coding RNA (898 nucleotides) under Hevea brasiliensis (rubber tree). The record is from RNAcentral. Lineage: Eukaryota; Viridiplantae; Streptophyta; Magnoliopsida; Malpighiales; Euphorbiaceae.